Molecule: ribosomal RNA, 2091 nt
Filed under: Staphylococcus aureus M0455
Lineage: Bacteria; Bacillati; Bacillota; Bacilli; Caryophanales; Staphylococcaceae
Description: bacterial LSU rRNA
Rfam family: Bacterial large subunit ribosomal RNA
Source: RNAcentral
AAUCGAACCUGGAGAUAGCUGGUUCUCUCCGAAAUAGCUUUAGGGCUAGCCUCAAGUGAUGAUUAUUGGAGGUAGAGCACUGUUUGGACGAGGGGCCCCUCUCGGGUUACCGAAUUCAGACAAACUCCGAAUGCCAAUUAAUUUAACUUGGGAGUCAGAACAUGGGUGAUAAGGUCCGUGUUCGAAAGGGAAACAGCCCAGACCACCAGCUAAGGUCCCAAAAUAUAUGUUAAGUGGAAAAGGAUGUGGCGUUGCCCAGACAACUAGGAUGUUGGCUUAGAAGCAGCCAUCAUUUAAAGAGUGCGUAAUAGCUCACUAGUCGAGUGACACUGCGCCGAAAAUGUACCGGGGCUAAACAUAUUACCGAAGCUGUGGAUUGUCCUUUGGACAAUGGUAGGAGAGCGUUCUAAGGGCGUUGAAGCAUGAUCGUAAGGACAUGUGGAGCGCUUAGAAGUGAGAAUGCCGGUGUGAGUAGCGAAAGACGGGUGAGAAUCCCGUCCACCGAUUGACUAAGGUUUCCAGAGGAAGGCUCGUCCGCUCUGGGUUAGUCGGGUCCUAAGCUGAGGCCGACAGGCGUAGGCGAUGGAUAACAGGUUGAUAUUCCUGUACCACCUAUAAUCGUUUUAAUCGAUGGGGGGACGCAGUAGGAUAGGCGAAGCGUGCGAUUGGAUUGCACGUCUAAGCAGUAAGGCUGAGUAUUAGGCAAAUCCGGUACUCGUUAAGGCUGAGCUGUGAUGGGGAGAAGACAUUGAGUCUUCGAGUCGUUGAUUUCACACUGCCGAGAAAAGCCUCUAGAUAGAAAAUAGGUGCCCGUACCGCAAACCGACACAGGUAGUCAAGAUGAGAAUUCUAAGGUGAGCGAGCGAACUCUCGUUAAGGAACUCGGCAAAAUGACCCCGUAACUUCGGGAGAAGGGGUGCUCUUUAGGGUUAACGCCCAGAAGAGCCGCAGUGAAUAGGCCCAAGCGACUGUUUAUCAAAAACACAGGUCUCUGCUAAACCGUAAGGUGAUGUAUAGGGGCUGACGCCUGCCCGGUGCUGGAAGGUUAAGAGGAGUGGUUAGCUUCUGCGAAGCUACGAAUCGAAGCCCCAGUAAACGGCGGCCGUAACUAUAACGGUCCUAAGGUAGCGAAAUUCCUUGUCGGGUAAGUUCCGACCCGCACGAAAGGCGUAACGAUUUGGGCACUGUCUCAACGAGAGACUCGGUGAAAUCAUAGUACCUGUGAAGAUGCAGGUUACCCGCGACAGGACGGAAAGACCCCGUGGAGCUUUACUGUAGCCUGAUAUUGAAAUUCGGCACAGCUUGUACAGGAUAGGUAGGAGCCUUUGAAACGUGAGCGCUAGCUUACGUGGAGGCGCUGGUGGGAUACUACCCUAGCUGUGUUGGCUUUCUAACCCGCACCACUUAUCGUGGUGGGAGACAGUGUCAGGCGGGCAGUUUGACUGGGGCGGUCGCCUCCUAAAAGGUAACGGAGGCGCUCAAAGGUUCCCUCAGAAUGGUUGGAAAUCAUUCAUAGAGUGUAAAGGCAUAAGGGAGCUUGACUGCGAGACCUACAAGUCGAGCAGGGUCGAAAGACGGACUUAGUGAUCCGGUGGUUCCGCAUGGAAGGGCCAUCGCUCAACGGAUAAAAGCUACCCCGGGGAUAACAGGCUUAUCUCCCCCAAGAGUUCACAUCGACGGGGAGGUUUGGCACCUCGAUGUCGGCUCAUCGCAUCCUGGGGCUGUAGUCGGUCCCAAGGGUUGGGCUGUUCGCCCAUUAAAGCGGUACGCGAGCUGGGUUCAGAACGUCGUGAGACAGUUCGGUCCCUAUCCGUCGUGGGCGUAGGAAAUUUGAGAGGAGCUGUCCUUAGUACGAGAGGACCGGGAUGGACAUACCUCUGGUGUACCAGUUGUCGUGCCAACGGCAUAGCUGGGUAGCUAUGUGUGGACGGGAUAAGUGCUGAAAGCAUCUAAGCAUGAAGCCCCCCUCAAGAUGAGAUUUCCCAACUUCGGUUAUAAGAUCCCUCAAAGAUGAUGAGGUUAAUAGGUUCGAGGUGGAAGCAUGGUGACAUGUGGAGCUGACGAAUACUAAUCGAUCGAAGACUUAAUCAA